This is a non-coding RNA of Podarcis lilfordi (Lilford's wall lizard), 75 nucleotides long. The record is from the annotation of a GenBank genome assembly. Lineage: Eukaryota; Metazoa; Chordata; Lepidosauria; Squamata; Lacertidae.
UCAAGGAUAGCUCAGUUGGUAGAGUGUAAGGCCCUUCAUCUGAGGGUUGUGGGUUCAAGCCCCAUGUUGGGUGAA